AGUGAACGCUGGCGGUAGGCCUAACACAUGCAAGUCGAACGGCAGCACAGUAAGAGCUUGCUCUUACGGGUGGCGAGUGGCGGACGGGUGAGGAAUACAUCGGAAUCUACUUUUUCGUGGGGGAUAACGUAGGGAAACUUACGCUAAUACCGCAUACGACCUACGGGUGAAAGCAGGGGAUCUUCGGACCUUGCGCGAUUGAAUGAGCCGAUGUCGGAUUAGCUAGUUGGCGGGGUAAAGGCCCACCAAGGCGACGAUCCGUAGCUGGUCUGAGAGGGUGAUCAGCCACACUGGAACUGAGACACGGUCCAGACUCCUACGGGAGGCAGCAGUGGGGAAUAUUGGACAAUGGGCGCAAGCCUGAUCCAGCCAUACCGCGUGGGUGAAGAAGGCCUUCGGGUUGUAAAGCUCUUUUGUUGGGAAAGAAAAGCAGCAGGUUAAUACCCCGCUGUUCUGACGGUACCCAAAGAAUAAGCACCGGCUAACUUCGUG
This 492-nucleotide ribosomal RNA is filed under the name uncultured bacterium. RNAcentral's name for it is "partial 16S ribosomal RNA". It matches the Rfam family "Bacterial small subunit ribosomal RNA", at positions 29 to 507 of the family's 1533-position model. The record is from RNAcentral.